This 301-nucleotide ribosomal RNA is filed under the name uncultured bacterium. Its description in RNAcentral is "partial 16S ribosomal RNA". It matches the Rfam family "Bacterial small subunit ribosomal RNA", at positions 509 to 809 of the family's 1533-position model. The record is from RNAcentral.
CAGCCGCCGCGGGAAUACGAAGGGUGCAAGCGUUAAUCGGAAUUACUGGGCGUAAAGCGUGCGUAGGCGGUGAGUUAAGUCUGCUGUGAAAUCCCCGGGCUCAACCUGGGAAUGGCAGUGGAUACUGGCUCGCUAGAGUGUGUCAGAGGAUGGUGGAAUUCCCGGUGUAGCGGUGAAAUGCGUAGAGAUCGGGAGGAACAUCAGUGGCGAAGGCGACUAUCUGGGCCAACACUGACACUGAGGCACGAAAGCGUGGGGAGCAAACAGGAUUAGAUACCCGUGUAGUCCCUGUCUCUUAUAA